RNAcentral lists this ribosomal RNA (301 nucleotides) under uncultured bacterium. Its description in RNAcentral is "partial 16S ribosomal RNA". It matches the Rfam family "Bacterial small subunit ribosomal RNA", at positions 509 to 808 of the family's 1533-position model. The record is from RNAcentral.
CAGUCGCCGCGGUAAUACGUAGGGUGCAAGCGUUAAUCGGAAUUACUGGGCGUAAAGCGUGCGCAGGCGGUUGUGCAAGACAGAUGUGAAAUCCCCGAGCUUAACUUGGGAACUGCGUUUGUGACUGCACGGCUAGAGUGUGUCAGAGGGGGGUAGAAUUCCACGUGUAGCAGUGAAAUGCGUAGAUAUGUGGAGGAAUACCGAUGGCGAAGGCAGCCCCCUGGGAUAACACUGACGCUCAUGCACGAAAGCGUGGGGAGCAAACUGGAUUAGAGACCCCGUAGUCCCUGUCUCUUAUACA